AAUGAUGGCCAGUGGUUAUAUAAGGUCACUAGUCCUCUCACUGCUCACGUUACAUACCUCAUACAUCAUCUAGAGAGAGUUGAGCAUUGUUAGUGAC
Ipomoea nil (Japanese morning glory) is the source of this 97-nucleotide long non-coding RNA. RefSeq lists it as uncharacterized. Lineage: Eukaryota; Viridiplantae; Streptophyta; Magnoliopsida; Solanales; Convolvulaceae. The record is from RefSeq and is a predicted model, not a curated record. The transcript has 3 exons.